CACGGACCUCGUGAAUACGCUUAGGUCCAAUACGAGUGUUGGAAGGUUGACGACCCAACUCGAAUUUUCUCUUCUUGCGGUACUGAGCACGCUUAGCACCGGUAGCAGAGCGCUUGUGUCGUGAGUCUCUGGUAAUUCCCAUGUUGGUGAUUUGGAGAUGGCUAGAAAUCGCCGACAAAAAGUUUAGCCUGGCUUUCGAUUGUGACUGUCUUUUUGAAUAAUUUAAGGAACUCC
Non-coding RNA from Schizosaccharomyces pombe (fission yeast), 234 nucleotides. NCBI's taxonomy places the organism in Eukaryota, Fungi, Ascomycota, Schizosaccharomycetes, Schizosaccharomycetales, Schizosaccharomycetaceae. The record is from the annotation of a GenBank genome assembly.